ACGUUAGCGGCGGACGGGUGAGUAACACGUGGGUAACCUACCUAUAAGACUGGGAUAACUUCGGGAAACCGGAGCUAAUACCGGAUAAUAUUUCGAACCGCAUGGUUCAUAGUGAAAGGUGGUUUUGCUAUCACUUAUAGAUGGACCUGCGCCGUAUUAGCUAGUUGGUAAGGUAACGGCUUACCAAGGCGACGAUACGUAGCCGACCUGAGAGGGUGAUCGGCCACACUGGGACUGAGACACGGUCCAGACUCCUACGGGAGGCAGCAGGC
This 272-nucleotide ribosomal RNA is filed under the name uncultured Staphylococcus sp. Its description in RNAcentral is "partial 16S ribosomal RNA". It matches the Rfam family "Bacterial small subunit ribosomal RNA", at positions 89 to 354 of the family's 1533-position model. The record is from RNAcentral. Lineage: Bacteria; Bacillati; Bacillota; Bacilli; Caryophanales; Staphylococcaceae.